AGUGAACGCUGGCGGUAGGCCUAACACAUGCCAGUCGAACGGCAGCACAGUAAGAGCUUGCUCUUACGGGUGGCGAGUGGCGGACGGGUGAGGAAUACAUCGGAAUCUACUUUUUCGUGGGGGAUAACGUAGGGAAACUUACGCUAAUACCGCAUACGACCUACGGGUGAAAGCAGGGGAUCUUCGGACCUUGCGCGAUUGAAUGAGCCGAUGUCGGAUUAGCUAGUUGGCGGGGUAAAGGCCCACCAAGGCGACGAUCCGUAGCUGGUCUGAGAGGAUGAUCAGCCACACUGGAACUGAGACACGGUCCAGACUCCUACGGGAGGCAGCAGUGGGGAAUAUUGGACAAUGGGCGCAAGCCUGAUCCAGCCAUACCGCGUGGGUGAAGAAGGCCUUCGGGUUGUAAAGCCCUUUUGUUGGGAAAGAAAAGCAGCAGGUUAAUACCCCGCAGUUCUGACGGUACCCAAAGAAUAAGCACCGGCUAACUUCGUG
This 492-nucleotide ribosomal RNA is filed under the name uncultured bacterium. Its description in RNAcentral is "partial 16S ribosomal RNA". It matches the Rfam family "Bacterial small subunit ribosomal RNA", at positions 29 to 507 of the family's 1533-position model. The record is from RNAcentral.